CUCCUUCAUUCUCUUCUUUUAUCGUUUUCUUCGCUUAGAUCUCUCUGUUCUUUUUCCCUCAUUUGUUUUCUCUCCGAUUAUAAUCAGAUCCAUGAGAAAAAAUUUUGCACCGUCCGAUGUGUAGACUUUGACUGAGUGCUGAUUAGUUACAGCAGGUGAUCAGUAUUGCGAGAUGGGGCAAUGUUACGGCAAGACUAAUCCAACUAACGAGAAUGACUCAACCACCACAAUAGUCGCCACCGGAGAUCGCAACCAGACUCCCUUACGACCAGCAACUCCGCGUAACGGAGCCGUCGGAGUGCAGUCAGUGAAGAACACGCCGGCCAG
Molecule: unclassified non-coding RNA, 327 nt
Filed under: Hevea brasiliensis (rubber tree)
Lineage: Eukaryota; Viridiplantae; Streptophyta; Magnoliopsida; Malpighiales; Euphorbiaceae
Source: RNAcentral